This 467-nucleotide ribosomal RNA is filed under the name uncultured bacterium. RNAcentral describes it as "partial 16S ribosomal RNA". It matches the Rfam family "Bacterial small subunit ribosomal RNA", at positions 29 to 507 of the family's 1533-position model. The record is from RNAcentral.
ACGCACGCUGGCGGCGUGCUUAACCCCUGCAAGUCGCACGGAAAGGCCCUGCUUUUGUGGGGUGCUCGAGUGGCGAACGGGUGAGUAACACGUGAGUAACCUGCCCUUGACUUUGGGAUAACUUCAGGAAACUGGGGCUAAUACCGGAUAGGAGCUCCUGCUGCAUGGUGGGGGUUGGAAAGUUUCGGCGGUUGGGGAUGGACUCGCGGCUUAUCAGCUUGUUGGUGGGGUAGUGGUUUACCAAGGCUUUGCCGGGUAGCCGGCCUGAGAGGGUGACCGGGCACAUUGGGCCUGAGAUACGGCCCAGACUCCUACGGGAGGCAGUGGUGGGGAAUAUUGCACAGUGGGCGGAAGCCUGAUGCAGCAACGCCGGGUGCGGGAUGACGGCUUUCGGGUUGUAAACCGCUUUCGCCUGUGACGAAGCGGGAGUGACGGUAAUGGGUAAAGAAGCACCGGCUAACUACGUG